GCACGGACUGGACUACGAGCCCUAUUUCUUCUUUUCUGAAAGGUAAGCCCAGGUUGGUUUAUUUGGGCCAUCGGAUCACCAUGCUGCCUUGGUUAGCUUAGGCCAUAGCUAGCUCCACACCAUCUUUUAUCUAGGUGCAAUUUGAUUACUCAAAGAGAAGGCAAGGAAGAAGAAGGGGAGAGAACUUGGUCUCUUUUUAAAAUUUCAUGGUCCACCUAAUAUGAUGAUUUUUGAAAUAUUCAGAAUUUUCGG
RNAcentral lists this long non-coding RNA (252 nucleotides) under Phoenix dactylifera (date palm). RNAcentral describes it as "long non-coding RNA (PDAC_LNC022678)". Lineage: Eukaryota; Viridiplantae; Streptophyta; Magnoliopsida; Arecales; Arecaceae. The record is from RNAcentral.